Nasonia vitripennis (jewel wasp) is the source of this 1182-nucleotide RNA transcript. RefSeq lists it as uncharacterized. The record is from RefSeq and is a predicted model, not a curated record. NCBI's taxonomy places the organism in Eukaryota, Metazoa, Arthropoda, Insecta, Hymenoptera, Pteromalidae. The transcript has 4 exons.
UCUCUUUUGAUUGAUUUUAUCGUAUUUCAUUGACUAUCUUUUACCUUAUUUAUUACCAUUCCUUAUUGACGCUACCGUGCAAUCGUAUCUGCAUCUAUGUACCACCAAACCUGCUUUACCAUCGCCGGCAACGAGUACUUAUUACCGAUCGACAGCGCAAACUCGCAUUUCGCAGUUCACAAACGUCAAACAAAGAACUGGAGCGUCCAAUCAGUUUUAUAAACAGCUUUUGUUGCUAUUUUAAUUUUCUUUUAUGAGUUUUCCUGUGAGGAACAAAAUUCUACAACAUUAUCGACAGCGUACGUCGUACACUUGCAUUUCGCAGUUCACAAACGUCAAAGCCCGCCCUCGAGCGAAGCAGGCAGCAGCCCGCACACUGAUGCAGUCAGUUUGGUCUAGAAGGAGAACCUAGGUAAACGUGCAGUGAACAAUGGAACGUCGUAGAUUAGAUCGCAAGAAAAACACAAGCCUGAGAAUUCGUUUAGCGCGAGCCCUGAGUCCGGCUACACGAACGAGAAGCUUCAGAGCUGGUUCUUGUAGUGACGCGGUUAACUCUCCGAGUUCGAGCCCUGAUGGGCAGAAUAGACAGAAUAGACACUCAUCACCCUGGCGCAGAUGUUCCUGGCAGUCGCCCCUCUCUUGCAGAGGCAAGCUCUGCGAUCCGGAAGGUGAAGACGAGGUGUUCAGCGUUUCUCAGAGUUCUCGUACUGCCGUUUGGUAUGCGGACGAGAGAUUAACUCAAGUGAGCAGUUGCAACUUGACUGUACAGGUGGGGUUUGAUUAAAUUUCAGCAUUCCAUCGGAGGUAGCAUUACUGUAUAGGAUGGCAGCGUGGUACCUAAGUUAAAGGAGAACGUACAGACAUGCCCACACGGACUGAAAGGCAUUUUCAAUUAAACUGAUAUAUAAUUUCCGGGGAAAUUCAACCUCCUGUAUACGCAUCGUUAUUAGCUCCAACAAGAGACCUCAAGAUACGUUCAUUCGUAAAGGUGAGGCAUUAUAAAAAAAUAUUACUCUAGUAUAUGAUCCAAUUAGUUAACGCUCGCCUGCGCAAACGCCCGAAAACUGUCCAUACACAACUCCGGCGUCGCAUCCGAAAAUUUCAAACCAGACCAACUUCGAAAAUCUCCGGCCAAAAAAUGAAAGCAUAUAGAACAGACGGUCGAGGACAGUCCCAUUGUCG